RNAcentral lists this ribosomal RNA (253 nucleotides) under uncultured bacterium. RNAcentral describes it as "partial 16S ribosomal RNA". It matches the Rfam family "Bacterial small subunit ribosomal RNA", at positions 524 to 776 of the family's 1533-position model. The record is from RNAcentral.
UACGUAGGGGGCAAGCGUUGUCCGGAAUCAUUGGGCGUAAAGGGCGUGUAGGCGGCUCGAUAAGUCUGCUGUGAAAGUCCAGGGCUCAACCCUGGAAGGCCGGUGGAAACUGUCGGGCUAGAGUCCGGAAGAGGCGAGUGGAAUUCCCGGUGUAGCGGUGAAAUGCGCAGAUAUCGGGAGGAACACCAAUGGCGAAGGCAGCUCGCUGGGACGGUACUGACGCUGAGACGCGAAAGCGUGGGGAGCAAACAGG